This is a non-coding RNA of Labrenzia sp. OB1, 45 nucleotides long. The record is from Rfam. NCBI's taxonomy places the organism in Bacteria, Pseudomonadati, Pseudomonadota, Alphaproteobacteria, Hyphomicrobiales, Stappiaceae.
UCAACGGUGUUUUUCGACACCACCCACAGCUUCCAUUUCAGCGUC